Molecule: non-coding RNA, 360 nt
Rfam family: Bacterial RNase P class A
About the family: Ribonuclease P (RNase P) is a ubiquitous endoribonuclease, found in archaea, bacteria and eukarya as well as chloroplasts and mitochondria. Its best characterised activity is the generation of mature 5'-ends of tRNAs by cleaving the 5'-leader elements of precursor-tRNAs.
Source: Rfam
AAAGUGGACUCAGUGGCUGCGGAUCGUAGGUUUCCUACGAUAUGAGGAAAGUCCGGGCUCCACAGGGCAAAAUGCUGGUUAACGACCAGGCGGGGUAACCCGACGGAUAGCGCCGCAGAAAAGAAGACUCCCACCACAUCGCAUGCCGAUGUAAGAGAAAAGCUGAAACGGUAGUGUAAAAGACUACCAGCACGGUAGCAAUAUCGUGGCUUGGCAAGCCCCAUUUGGAGCAAACGCGAAUAGGAAUGUAAUAGAUCGGCCCGAUCUGCAUUCGGGUAGCGCGCUUGAGGAAUCUGGUAACAGAUUCUCUAGAUAAAUAGUCACUCUCGACAGAACCCGGCUUAUAGGUCCACUUUGCAC